UCUUCAGAUGAACUGAUUUUUAUGUAGAGCACACGUGUUGGAUUCUGCCUGGUGUGGAUUAAUGAGUACGAUCACUCCAAGCCCAUCCAGGGGCAGCAGAAGAAGCCCUUUGAGGAGCACUGGAGGAAGCACACCCUGUCCUAUGUGGACGUCAGCACUGGGAAGGUCACCCUGGAAUAUAGACCCGUAAUUGACAAAACUUUGAAUGAGGCUGACUGUGCCGCCAUCCCCCCAGCCAUUCACUCCUGCUGAUGAGACAAGAUGCGGUGAUGACAGAAUCAGCUUUUGUAAUUAUGUAUAAUAACUCAUGUAUGUGUCCAUGUCAUAAGUGUCUUCAUACGCUUCUGCACUCCAGGGAAGAAGGAGUACAUUGAGGGGAGAUUGGCACCCAGUGGCCGGGAGCUUGCCAGGAACCCAGUGGCCAGGGAGCGUGGCACUUACCUUUGUCCCUUGCUUCAUUCUUGUGACAUGAUAAAACUGGGCACAGCUCUUAAAUAAAAUAUAAAUGAACAAACUUUCUUUUAUUUCCAAAUCCAUUUACAAUAUUUUACUGUUGUGACUUGUCAUAUUUGUUGACCUAAAAAUCAAAUGUAAUUGUCUUUGUAUUCUGUCACAUCAAAAUCCAGAUAUUUUG
RNAcentral lists this long non-coding RNA (634 nucleotides) under Pongo abelii (Sumatran orangutan). Its description in RNAcentral is "lincRNA". The record is from RNAcentral. Lineage: Eukaryota; Metazoa; Chordata; Mammalia; Primates; Hominidae.